AAAAGCUAAUAAGGGCACACGGAGGAUGCCUAGGCAGCAACAGCCGAUGAAGGACGUGAUAAGCUGCGAUAAGCCGGGAGAAGAUGCACAUAAUCAUUGAUCCCCGGAUUUCCGAAUGGGUAAACCUGCAUGCCUGGAGGGCAUGCGUGAAAACGGCAAGCCUGCGAACUGAAACAUCUAAGUAGCAGGAGGAAAAGAAAGUAAAAACGAUUCCCCAAGUAGCGGCGAGCGAACAGGGAAAAGCCUAAACCGUGCCAGUGUCAAGCGGACAGCGUUGCUGGCACGGGGUUGCGGGACUUCCAUUAACGGAUUGUCAUAAUGUUUAAUCUGUACAUGUGUAAGUGGAAUCAGUUGGGAAGCUGAACCAGAGAAGGUGAAAGUCCUGUAGAACAUAAAGCAUAUGUGGAGACUGGAAGCACCCGAGUAGCGUCAGGCACGAGGAAUCUGGCGUGAAUCAGCGUGGACCAAAUCACGUAAGGCUAAAUACUGUUGUUGACCGAUAGUGAAGAGUACCGUGAGGGAAAGGUGAAAAGAACCCUGAGCAAGGGAGUGAAACAGAAUUUGAAACCGUGUGCUUACAAACGGUAGGAGCACAUUAUGUGUGACUGCGUGGAUUUUGGUUAAUCAUCCUGCGAGUUAUGGCUGGUGGCAAGGUUAAUAGACGGAGCCGAAGGGAAACCAAGUCUUAAUAGGGCGUCAAGUCGCCAGUCAUAGACGCGAAACCUAGUGAUCUAGGCCUGUCCAGGCUGAAGCUGAGGUAAGACUCAGUGGAGGGCCGAACUCACCGCCGUUGAAAAGUUGGGAGAGUAUGAUCUAGGGGGCGUACUGCUUACCGAAAUCAAGCAAACUGCGAAUACCAUAUAUCAUGUUCAGGAGUGAGUCCGUGGAUGACAAGGUCCUCGGACGAGAGGGGAACAGCCCAGACCGCCAGCUAAGGUCCCUAAUUAUGUCUAAGUGGGAAAGGAGGUGGACAUUCAUAGACAACCAGGAGGUUGGCUUAGAAGCAGCCAUGCCUUGAAAGAGUGCGUAAUAGCUCACUGGUCGAGAGUGCCUGCGCCGAAGAUGUAACGGGGCUAAGACAUAAACCGAAGCUGCGGAAGAUACACUGUAUCUUGGUAGGAGAGCGUUCUGUAGGCCGUCGAAGGGAUGCCGCAAGGCCGUCCUGGAGGUAUCAGAAGCGAGAAUGCAGGAAUGAGUAGCGAGAAGGCGGGCGAGAAUCCCGCCGGCCGGAAGUCCAAGGUUUCCAGGGGAAGGCUUGUCCGCCCUGGGGAAGUCGGGACCUAAGCAUAAGCAAAAUUGUGAUGGCGAAUGGAAAACAGGUUAAUAUUCCUGUACCGCUGUUAUCGCUUGAGAGACGGAGUGACGCAGGAAGGUAUGCGAGAAGGCUGACGGUUUAGCCUUUCUAAGGGCCCAGCGUGGGCGUGCAGGUAAAUCCGCACGCCUAAACGUGAGACCUGACGGGGAAGUGCAUUUGCAUAAGUCGCAGAUCCUACACUGCCAAGAAAAACUUCUAUCGAUGAGAAGCAGCGCCCGUACUGUAAACCGACACAGGUGGACAGAGUGAGAAACUUAAGGCCGACAGGAUAACUCUAGCUAAGGAACUCUGCAAAAUAGCCCCGUAACUUCGGGAGAAGGGGUGCCUGACAUACCUGAAGGAGAGAAGCGCUCCCAGGGGAAACAGGCCGCAGUGAAGAGUCUCAAGCAACUGUUUACCAAAAACACAGGUCUAUGCUAAGCUGAAAGGCGACGUAUAUGGGCUGACACCUGCCCAGUGCUGGAAGGUUAAGAGGAGGAGUGAGAGCUCCGAUUUGAAGCCCCGGUGAACGGCGGCCGUAACUAUAACGGUCCUAAGGUAGCGAAAUUCCUUGUCGGGUAAGUUCCGACCUGCACGAAUGGUGAAAUGAUUU
Molecule: ribosomal RNA, 1907 nt
Filed under: human oral metagenome
Description: bacterial LSU rRNA
Rfam family: Bacterial large subunit ribosomal RNA
Source: RNAcentral